CAGUCGCCACGGGAAUACGUAGGGUGCGAGCGUUAAUCGGAAUUACUGGGCGUAAAGCGUACGCAGGCGGUUAUAUAAGACAGAUGUGAAAUCCCCGGGCUCAACCUGGGACCUGCAUUUGUGACUGUAUAGCUAGAGUACGGUAGAGGGGGAUGGGAUUCCGCGUGUAGCAGUGAAAUGCGUAGAUAUGCGGAGGAACACCGAUGGCGAAGGCAAUCCCCUGGACCUGUACUGACGCUCAUGCACGAAAGCGUGGGGAGCAGACAGGAUUAGAUACCCCUGUAGUCCCUGUCUCUUAUAC
RNAcentral lists this ribosomal RNA (301 nucleotides) under uncultured bacterium. Its description in RNAcentral is "partial 16S ribosomal RNA". It matches the Rfam family "Bacterial small subunit ribosomal RNA", at positions 509 to 807 of the family's 1533-position model. The record is from RNAcentral.